GGGGCGCGCGCCCGUCGAUAGACAAUCUCUGUACACACGCUGCCCGUUGUCCCCUGUGGGCGUUUUCUUGGUUUUCGGGUUCGCGUGCUAAUGUCCGAAGUGCACAUCGACUCGGUAUGGCUUGCAGGACCGGUUGUAAUAGGAAUAUCUAUUUUCAUCCCUGGAGCCUUACCGACCGGUUUCUCAUUUUUUCAAGUAUAGCAAAAAGAAGAGGGUCUUCUCCUCGUCUCCUCGUCUUCUCAAGAAGGGAAAUGCACGUUCUCGAAAAGGAACGAAAGGAAGAACGGAGAUUUAAGGCGAUGUGAAAGUGAAAUCUGAGUCUGGACGAACUGGGGGUAUCAAAUCGUUUGAAAUUUCAACACCUCAGGGUGGAGGCCCUAUAGAAGAUCCUGACACCCGCGAAAUUUCAUUUUUUUUAUACAAAUGACUAAAAAGGUUUAUACAAAAGUUUGAAACAAAUGCAAUUUCAUGGGUGGUAGGACUUUUCUUAGGGCGUUCGUGUUCACGUGGCAAAGUUUCGAAUAAUUCGGUACACCCGGUUCAGAGAAAAGCUUCAUAAACCAUUGACCUCUCAGACGCUACUUUCACAUCACCUUAAGGUGAAGUGAAGUCCUCAAGCCAGUCGAUUCGAAAGUAUAUGUAUUUGGCGCCAUACUCUGGCGAGUUUCUUGAUGACCAGAAUGGAUACAAAGAUUCCUCCCGUCUAUAUCUGCCGCAAAGAGAAAUUAAUUUAUUGCGUAUGAAAAUAUGUUUUAUAUUAUUAGACUCAUAUUGUAAACGGUGAUUUAAGGAUCAUUCGUGGCAUUUCUUGAACGUGAAGGAGGAAAGUUCCUUGACUCGGAUGGAAGCUUUCCUUCGACACGUUCUACCUGUGCCAACCUAGACUGGCUAGUUAGCACAUCUAUGUGUACUUUUUGCCUCGAGUUCAAUGAUCCAAGGUUCUACCUGCGAUGCACUACCUGCAGCUUCGCAUGCAUAAUGCUAUUCUUCCAUCGACCACCAAAGUGGAAUAUAGGAGUAGUUGAUUUUAAAUAACAUGUAUAUAGUGUGGGCAGUAUAUACAAGUUUUACACAUUGCCAAGCAUUAUUCGCAGUACUUGGCAUAUCAUGCCCAUAAUGUGUAGAUCUCUAAUUAUGAAAGACCUGUAAUUUUAUUUUAUCGAAAAACUAACACGAUAUUGCUGUAACUUAAAUGUAUGUAACAGAAAAUAUGGGAUAAUUUCUUUGUUUUACAUAUUUUACUUAGCCAAUUUUAUAAUUACGGAACAAAUAGAAAACCCUAUCUAUGUGUUUGUUUGGACUAAUCUCGAGAACCAUUGGCUAGGAAAUGAAAUCAGACAUUUUGGGAACACAAGCGCGUGGCAUGCAAUAAUUUACAAUAUAAAUAAUACUACGGUUCUCACUCUUCGUUGUAUUAAUUGUCAAUGAGCACUGAAUGGAACUGGGAGGGCGAAUAGCGAUUUUCUACAAUGAAGAUUUUUACUGUAUCAAACGCACGCACAGAGAAUAAACAGUGCAAAGAUGUAAAUUUUUCGACCGAUUAUUAUUACACUUUGAAUCGGUGAUUUCAACGGAAUUAAUUCCACCGAGAGGCAAUAUCCUCCUCGGCGUCUGGAGGAGAUGUCUGGUCGGUAUUUGAUAGACAUGCCAAUGUCCGAAGUACACGAUGUGUCUUAUUGCGCAUGCAGGUACACGCACGCCAAAGGGUUAUUGAGAUAUGCUUGUUAACAGUGCCAGACAUAAUAAGAACAUGAGUUUACGUAAAUGUUUCCUAAUUCGGGUAUGACCGCGUGUGAUAAAGUGGAAGUCAAUUUGCGACACCGAGUCUCUUGUUCUCUAUUGAAUUAUACCAUAAAUUCAUAGACGCACAUUUUUGCUGCGAAUUUUAUUUUGCAAUAAUUCCUUGCUUCAGUAAUCGACAAAGUGGCAAAAUAUGAUGAACAAUACCGACGUUAUUAAUACAUGAUUGCGAAAAAUAAAUUGUCGAGCUUUUACAAAUUUCACCGCGAUCUCGUGGAACAAUUUAAUGUUUUUAGUUCGAAAGAUUGUGAAUACGCUCCCUCGUGCGCUAUGUUAUAAAUAAAACUCAUUAACAAA
Orussus abietinus is the source of this 2097-nucleotide long non-coding RNA. RefSeq lists it as uncharacterized. NCBI's taxonomy places the organism in Eukaryota, Metazoa, Arthropoda, Insecta, Hymenoptera, Orussidae. The record is from RefSeq and is a predicted model, not a curated record. The transcript has 2 exons.